The sequence is a transfer RNA, 107 nucleotides long. It matches the Rfam family "tRNA". Rfam says of the family: Transfer RNA (tRNA) molecules are approximately 80 nucleotides in length. Their secondary structure includes four short double-helical elements and three loops (D, anti-codon, and T loops).
GGCGAUUUGGCCGAGCGGUCUAAGGCGUGCGACUCAAGCGCAAGCUUACCUGAAUUCACAGGCUUCGCAUAGAGCAAUCUGCGUGGGUUCGAAUCCCACAGUCGUCA